This 596-nucleotide long non-coding RNA is filed under the name Rattus norvegicus (Norway rat). RNAcentral describes it as "long non-coding RNA NONRATT010529". The record is from RNAcentral. Lineage: Eukaryota; Metazoa; Chordata; Mammalia; Rodentia; Muridae.
GGAAUUCAUCUUUUGUAUGCAGGACCUGUUGAUUCUCUGGCAAGCCUUCAUAGACACCCCCCUCCUCCACAGAAAAAUGGGAGAGACAGAGAGGAAGGGAAGUGGACUAUGGGCUGAGAGGUAAUAGUUACUAGUAGGAAGGAGAUGUGGAUUUGUACUGACAGAGUGUUGGGGAACAGAGAUAAAUCAAUAGAUCUGCAUGUAUCAAGGAGGUAGAGUCAACAGAAAUUGAUGAUUAAUUAAAUGUGGGAGGGAAGAAGAGGAAGGAGACAAGGAUGACUCAAACUCUGGCUUGGGCAGCAGAAAAGGUGCUGGUGCCAUACACUGGGGCAGGAGAGGAAGUCCAUCCUGAGAUUUCAGCUUCAUAUGUGUUCUGUUUGAAUACUUUUAAAACACUCUUAUGGAGGAACAUGGUCCUGCAGGUCGGAAAGAUGACAAGACAUAUACAAGAGCAUUUGAAUGCCAACCUGCAAUGGUGGUCAAGCCCGAGAACCAGGCCAUCUGUGAAAGAUGAAGAGAACAAGAGAAGGAUUCCAGCUAGGGUGAUCAGGGAAGGCAGAUUAAGAGCUGGGUCAGAAAGAGUAGUUAAAAAAAAA